RNAcentral lists this ribosomal RNA (465 nucleotides) under uncultured bacterium. RNAcentral's name for it is "partial 16S ribosomal RNA". It matches the Rfam family "Bacterial small subunit ribosomal RNA", at positions 356 to 813 of the family's 1533-position model. The record is from RNAcentral.
UGGGGAAUUUGGACAAUGGGGGCAACCCUGAUCCAGCAAUGCCGCGUGUGUGAAGAAGGCCUUCGGGUUGUAAAGCACUUUUGUCCGGAAAGAAAACGCCGUGGUUAAUACCCGUGGCGGAUGACGGUACCGGAAGAAUAAGCACCGGCUAACUACGUGCCAGCAGCCGCGGUAAUACGUAGGGUGCAAGCGUUAAUCGGAAUUACUGGGCGUAAAGCGUGCGCAGGCGGUCCGCUAAGACAGAUGUGAAAUCCCCGGGCUUAACCUGGGAACUGCAUUUGUGACUGGCGGGCUAGAGUAUGGCAGAGGGGGGUAGAAUUCCACGUGUAGCAGUGAAAUGCGUAGAGAUGUGGAGGAAUACCGAUGGCGAAGGCAGCCCCCUGGGCCAAUACUGACGCUCAUGCACGAAAGCGUGGGGGAGCAAAACGGAUUAGAUACCCUGGUAUCCACGCCCUAAAGAUNCAG